RNAcentral lists this RNase P RNA (353 nucleotides) under bovine gut metagenome. Its description in RNAcentral is "Bacterial RNase P class A". It matches the Rfam family "Bacterial RNase P class A". From Rfam's summary of the family: Ribonuclease P (RNase P) is a ubiquitous endoribonuclease, found in archaea, bacteria and eukarya as well as chloroplasts and mitochondria. The record is from RNAcentral.
CAGGACAUGCGGUCGCGGCUGACGGGCCGAAAGGUGUCAGUCGAGGAAAGUCCGGGCUUCACAGGGCAGGAUGCCGGAUAACGUCCGGCGGGAGCAAUCCCCGGGAAAGCGCAGCAGAAAACAACCGCCGCACCUUCCGUUUUGCGGAAGGUGCGGUAAGGGUGAAAAGGCAGUGUAAGAGACUACCGCAGCUCUGGCAACAGAGACGGCAUAUGCAAGCCCCAUCCGAAGCAAGGCCAAAACGAAGCGAUACGGCUGCCCGCCGUGCUUCAGGUAGGCCGCUCGAUUCUUCCGGCAACGGAAGAGCCAGAUAGAUGACCGCACGCGACAGAACCCGGCUUAUCGUCCCGCCU